AGAGUUUGAUCAUGGCUCAGGAUGAACGCUAGCUACAGGCUUAACACAUGCAAGUCGAGGGGAAACGACAUCGAAAGCUUGCUUUUGAUGGGCGUCGACCGGCGCACGGGUGAGUAACGCGUAUCCAACCUGCCCACCACUUGGGGAUAACCUUGCGAAAGUAAGACUAAUACCCAAUGAUAUCUCUAGAAGACAUCUGAAAGAGAUUAAAGAUUUAUCGGUGAUGGAUGGGGAUGCGUCUGAUUAGCUUGUUGGCGGGGUAACGGCCCACCAAGGCGACGAUCAGUAGGGGUUCUGAGAGGAAGGUCCCCCACAUUGGAAACUGAGACCACGGUCCAAACUCCGUACGGGAGGCA
Molecule: ribosomal RNA, 356 nt
Filed under: uncultured bacterium
Lineage: Bacteria
Description: bacterial SSU rRNA
Rfam family: Bacterial small subunit ribosomal RNA
Source: RNAcentral